RNAcentral lists this long non-coding RNA (582 nucleotides) under Equus asinus (donkey). RNAcentral describes it as "lncRNA (ENSEASG00005032342.1)". Lineage: Eukaryota; Metazoa; Chordata; Mammalia; Perissodactyla; Equidae. The record is from RNAcentral.
GGAGUUGUAAUCGCUGGCCCAUUUGGAGCCAGUUCCAGGGACCCCAUCUCUUAUCAACAAAGUGACUGAGGAUUGUCUUUAAGAAAAACUGCCAAGUCACCUACCCAGAGCAUGUGUAGAAGAAGAAAUUGUGACCUGAAACAGCCUCGGGACUAAAGAUCCACCUCCCCACAGAACCCAAGGGCCAGGACACAACCAGAACUUGAAAGGGGAGAGGCAACAAAAUAGCUCUCUUACAGGCUUCACCCCAGGAACGAUCCCUGUCGGCAUCUACUCUCCCUCCACUGGCCAGAGCAAGUGCAUGACCGGUCCUAACAUCAAGGGCAUCAGAAGUUCAACCCUACCUCGUACCUAGAAGGAGAAAUGGAAAUGUCACUGAACAGCUCAGAAACUCAGGGAUGUUGAGGACUUUGCUGAAAGUUGCCCAGAUGUUACAUGGCAUACCUGGCAUUUGAAGUCAGGUCUUUUCACCAUUAAGGCCCUGCUCCUUUCAUAAGCCAUGCUACCCCCUGCGAUGGAAAACAAACAUAACAAGUUAGAUCCAGCAAUGACACCAGUUAAAGAGAGGCCAAGUGAUUGAGG